UAUGAUAAGAAUUUGUAAAUAAGGAAAG
This 28-nucleotide transfer RNA is filed under the name Ephemerum serratum. RNAcentral describes it as "partial tRNA-Ser". The record is from RNAcentral. Lineage: Eukaryota; Viridiplantae; Streptophyta; Bryopsida; Pottiales; Pottiaceae.